Molecule: long non-coding RNA, 849 nt
Filed under: Anser brachyrhynchus (Pink-footed goose)
Lineage: Eukaryota; Metazoa; Chordata; Aves; Anseriformes; Anatidae
Description: lncRNA (ENSABRG00000017061.1)
Source: RNAcentral
UCUAAAUGGAUGGGUGUGACAGGAAUGUGAAUAUUCAGGUCCUGGGGUGAGUUCAAGCAAUUGUUAAAGCUCACUCCAAAGUUGUAAGAGCAAUUCUAUUUAAAUGUGGGUGGAAAACUAGGUUACUUUUACACUGAAUAAAGCUAUGAAAUACUGCUGUCUUUUUAAGUGCUACAGGGAAUGGAUGCCAGCAUGGUAUCCCAGGGAAUGGUAAAUUCUUAAUGUGCAGAAUUGGAAAGCACAUCUUUUCUAAAGGUUGGGGGGAGUGAUAUGAAAGAUUGAAAAGCUUUAAAAGACACAGCUGCAAAGCCAGCUACUGUGUAUCCUUGAGAUGUUCCUACAAGGACUCUGUGAUGUACAAUGCCAAAGGAAGAGAGAUCUAUGGAGUCUGUUGAGACAAGAAAGAACAGCACUGGGCACAGAACAGCAGUGGACUGUCAAGCUCGUGGAUGGAUUAUCAAUAACUGAACAAAGAAACGUCCCUCCCGCUCACAAAAGGAACACAGCAAAGAAGGGAUCUCACAAGCAAGAUAUAAGGAGUGACAGGGUCAGAAGACUUCCCAAAGUCAAGACACAAGGGAUCCAGCUCUUCACUGACAUAUCACAGAAAUACGUUGUUUUGACACAUUUUUUUCCUCCAUAAAAUCUGUUCUGGCACUGUUUGUCUCCGUGUUAAUUUCCAAGUGCUUAGAAUAGUUAGGGGAGCUUUGUUCUAAUACCUCUCUAAAAGUUUUAAUUGUCUAAUACACCUGUACUUCACAAGCUAGUUGGAUUUUUAAUGAUAGGCAUCUUGGUAUCCCUUGUGAAAAUGACUAUCUCUGAACACCCUACAGUGACCUCAUUUCCUAU